GCUGGCGGCGUGGAUAAGACAUGCAAGUCGAACGGGAUUUGUUUUGUAGCAAUACGAAGCAAGUCUAGUGGCGUAAGGGUGCGUAACACGUGGGGAAUCUGCCGAGAAGUGGGGGAUAGCUCGCCGAAAGGCGAAUUAAUACCGCAUGUGACCAGAGUUGACGUCAACUCGACGUCAAAGCCGGGGCAACCUGGCGCUUCUUGAUGACCCCGCGGCCUAUCAGCUAGUUGGUGAGGUAACGGCUCACCAAGGCUAUGACGGGUAGCUGGUCUGAGAGGACGACCAGUCACACUGGAACUGAGACACGGUCCAGACACCUACGGGUGGCAGCAGUCGAGAAUUUUUCUCAAUGGGGGAAACCCUGAAGGAGCGACGCCGCGUGGAGGAUGAAGGUCUUCGGAUUGUAAACUCCUGUCAUUAGAGAACAAUGUGCAUUUAUUAACUGUAAAUGCAUUGAUAGUAUCUGAAGAGGAAGAGACGGCUAACUCUGUGCCAGCAGCCGCGGUAAUACAGAGGUCUCAAGCGUUGUUCGGAUUCAUUGGGCGUAAAGGGUGCGUAGGUGGUGCUGUAAGUCAGGUGUGAAAUCUCGGGGCUCAACCCCGAAACUGCACUUGAUACUGCAGUGCUCGAGGACUGGAGAGGAGAUUGGAAUUCAUGGUGUAGCAGUGAAAUGCGUAGAUAUCAUGAGGAAGACCAGUGGCGA
RNAcentral lists this ribosomal RNA (703 nucleotides) under uncultured bacterium. Its description in RNAcentral is "bacterial SSU rRNA". It matches the Rfam family "Bacterial small subunit ribosomal RNA", at positions 35 to 718 of the family's 1533-position model. The record is from RNAcentral.